This 231-nucleotide long non-coding RNA is filed under the name Lathyrus oleraceus (garden pea). Its description in RNAcentral is "Pisum sativum (pea) long non-coding RNA (PSAT_LNC001544)". The record is from RNAcentral. Lineage: Eukaryota; Viridiplantae; Streptophyta; Magnoliopsida; Fabales; Fabaceae.
AUUUGGAAUUGAUUUUGUUUGUUUUGUUUUGCAAGGUGGUGAUUUAGGAAGAUGAUAUCAAAAUAUGUGUAUGGAUUUUGAUCUUGGAUUAAAAUGCGUUUAUGUUAUUGGAAUAUUGGGAUUUCCUUUAAUUUCUUAAUAACAAUAAUGAUGACAUAUAUAGAACUACCUAAUAUAUUAAUUUAAUUAAUUUGAUUAAAAAUUAAAAAAAAAUAACAAAAAGGGUUUUUU